Molecule: ribosomal RNA, 678 nt
Filed under: uncultured Bacilli bacterium
Lineage: Bacteria; Bacillati; Bacillota; Bacilli
Description: bacterial SSU rRNA
Rfam family: Bacterial small subunit ribosomal RNA
Source: RNAcentral
AUUUGGUGCUUGCACCAGAUGAAACUAGAUACAAGCGAGCGGCGGACGGGUGAGUAACACGUGGGUAACCUGCCCAAGAGACUGGGAUAACACCUGGAAACAGAUGCUAAUACCGGAUAACAACACUAGACGCAUGUCUAGAGUUUAAAAGAUGGUUCUGCUAUCACUCUUGGAUGGACCUGCGGUGCAUUAGCUAGUUGGUAAGGUAACGGCUUACCAAGGCAAUGAUGCAUAGCCGAGUUGAGAGACUGAUCGGCCACAUUGGGACUGAGACACGGCCCAAACUCCUACGGGAGGCAGCAGUAGGGAAUCUUCCACAAUGGACGCAAGUCUGAUGGAGCAACGCCGCGUGAGUGAAGAAGGGUUUCGGCUCGUAAAGCUCUGUUGGUAGUGAAGAAAGAUAGAGGUAGUAACUGGCCUUUAUUUGACGGUAAUUACUUAGAAAGUCACGGCUAACUACGUGCCAGCAGCCGCGGUAAUACGUAGGUGGCAAGCGUUGUCCGGAUUUAUUGGGCGUAAAGCGAGUGCAGGCGGUUCAAUAAGUCUGAUGUGAAAGCCUUCGGCUCAACCGGAGAAUUGCAUCAGAAACUGUUGAACUUGAGUGCAGAAGAGGAGAGUGGAACUCCAUGUGUAGCGGUGGAAUGCGUAGAUAUAUGGAAGAACACCAGUGGCGAAGGC